CGCACGGGUGCGUAACACGUGGGCAAUCUGCCCUUCGAUGGGGAAUAACUUCGGGAAACCGAAGCUAAUUCCGCAUAACAUUCCCUGGACUUCGGUUCGAGGACUCAAAGCCGUAAGGCGUCGAAGGAGGAGCCCGCGCACGAUUAGCUAGUUGGUAGGGUAACGGCCUACCAAGGCUGCGAUCGGUAGCCGGCCUGAGAGGGCGGUCGGCCACAUUGGCACUGAGACACGGGCCAG
This 237-nucleotide ribosomal RNA is filed under the name uncultured bacterium. RNAcentral's name for it is "partial 16S ribosomal RNA". It matches the Rfam family "Bacterial small subunit ribosomal RNA", at positions 99 to 334 of the family's 1533-position model. The record is from RNAcentral.